RNAcentral lists this ribosomal RNA (430 nucleotides) under uncultured bacterium. RNAcentral describes it as "partial 16S ribosomal RNA". It matches the Rfam family "Bacterial small subunit ribosomal RNA", at positions 29 to 506 of the family's 1533-position model. The record is from RNAcentral.
AUGAACGCUGGCGGUAUGCUUAACACAUGCAAGUCGAACGGUACCUUCGGGUAUAGUGGCGGACGGGUGAGUAACGCGUGAGAAUCUAUCUUCAGGUCGGGGACAACAGUUAGAAAUGACUGCUAAUACCGGAUGUGCCGAAAGGUAAAAGAUUUAUUGCCUGAAAAAGAGCUCGCGUCAGAUUAGCUAGUAGGUGGUGUAAGAGACUACCUAGGCUUCGAUCUGUAGCUGGUCUGAGAGGACGAUCAGCCACACUGGAACUGAGACACGGUCCAGACUCCUACGGGAGGCAGCAGUGGGGAAUUUUCCGCAAUGGGCGAAAGCCUGACGGAGCAAUACCGCGUGAGGGACGAAGGCUCUUGGGUCGUAAACCUCUUUUCUCAAGGAAGAUUCAGACGGUACUUGAGGAAUAAGCAUCGGCUAACUCUGU